Molecule: ribosomal RNA, 484 nt
Filed under: uncultured bacterium
Lineage: Bacteria
Description: partial 16S ribosomal RNA
Rfam family: Bacterial small subunit ribosomal RNA
Source: RNAcentral
AUUGAACGCUGGCGGCAGGCCUGACACAUGCCAGUCGAGCGGAUGAAGGGAGCUUGCUCCUGGAUUCAGCGGCGGACGGGUGAGUAAUGCCUAGGAAUCUGCCUGGUAGUGGGGGAUAACGUCCGGAAACGGGCGCUAAUACCGCAUACGUCCUGAGGGAGAAAGUGGGGGAUCUUCGGACCUCACGCUAUCAGAUGAGCCUAGGUCGGAUUAGCUAGUUGGUGGGGUAAAGGCCUACCAAGGCGACGAUCCGUAACUGGUCUGAGAGGAUGAUCAGUCACACUGGAACUGAGACACGGUCCAGACUCCUACGGGAGGCAGCAGUGGGGAAUAUUGGACAAUGGGCGAAAGCCUGAUCCAGCCAUGCCGCGUGUGUGAAGAAGGUCUUCGGAUUGUAAAGCACUUUAAGUUGGGAGGAAGGGCAGUAAGUUAAUACCUUGCUGUUUUGACGUUACCAACAGAAUAAGCACCGGCUAACUUCGUG